CAGCCGCCGCGGUAAUACGUAGGUGGCAAGCGUUGUUCGGAAUUAUUGGGCGUAAAGGGCUCGCAGGCGGUUUCUUAAGUCUGAUGUGAAAGCCCCCGGCUCAACCGGGGAGGGUCAUUGGAAACUGGGAAACUUGAGUGCAGAAGAGGAGAGUGGAAUUCCACGUGUAGCGGUGAAAUGCGUAGAGCUGUGGAGGAACACCAGUGGCGAAGGCGACUCUCUGGUCUGUAACUGACGCUGAGGAGCGAAAGCGUGGGGAGCGAACAGGAUUAGAUACCCCCGUAGUCCCUGUCUCUUAUAC
This 301-nucleotide ribosomal RNA is filed under the name uncultured bacterium. RNAcentral's name for it is "partial 16S ribosomal RNA". It matches the Rfam family "Bacterial small subunit ribosomal RNA", at positions 509 to 807 of the family's 1533-position model. The record is from RNAcentral.